This 2311-nucleotide long non-coding RNA is filed under the name Paramuricea clavata. The record is from RNAcentral. Lineage: Eukaryota; Metazoa; Cnidaria; Anthozoa; Malacalcyonacea; Plexauridae.
CUUACCAUUUAUCUUUCAAAUUUGAGUUCCAAAAUGAAGAUCGGUUGAGCAACUUCGCAAAAAUAUCUAUUUUUCUACUUUCGAACGGUGUUUUUCCUAUGCUUUUGACUGAAAACACGACGAAUGACACUUGCCAGAGCAAUUUGCGUGGCGCGUGGAAAUGACGUUGCACGGGGACACAAAGAACAAAGGAAUCGCCGCGAGUUCCGCCUCUGUAUACUCUGUGGCUUGACCUUCACUAUCAAAACAACAAGAGUGAGAAAUAUGGCGGAUUUUGUAUUAGCCGAUUCACCGCCAUAAAGCUUCAGUUUUGGAAGGACACGGUCUUCUUUUUGUUCAUUGUGUAUCGUGAGAGCCUAUGCUGUUGGUUCCUAUGGGUUAUCGUAUGUUCAGUUUCAAUGCCGUGAGAUUCACAUCAGAAGAAUCGCUAUGUUUGUCUCUAAAAGUUGAUGAAAUCUUCGCCGAUUGCAAAUAGCCCAGCAUUGAUAGAGUAUAGAGAUACAUUCCAGUUGUGUUUUUAGGGUAAGUCGUUUGUUUUAAUCCUUAAAGCCAAUACAAAGGCAAUGUAUCUACGCAAUGGUUUUUGCUUUUUCUAUGAUUCACAUUUUUAUAGCCAAUGUUGGUAACAAUAUUUGUGCUUUUUAUUUUGAAUAUAUGCAUAUAGAGCUAAAAUAUAGUUUAAGUUAGAGAAGCCAAGACUGUUCAUUUGGUUUGAUCAUAGAGGUUUGAUUACUUUGGUAUUUUAUACGGACUAUUAAAGUAAUUAACCCUACUUUAUUAUUUUACUCUGUCUAUAACGCCAGAUUAUUUUACUCUGUCUAAUGGCAUGUGCCUAGUUAACCCAUUGAGUCACAUUGUGCCCUCAUGUGCCCUACUUUAAUAUUUUACUCUGUCUAACGCUGGCACUUAAAGGGUUAAACAGAGGAUUGUUUUUUAUAUAUUGCAGUUCUCUGACCUCAGUGAUCUAAGACGAGAUGGAACAGGACAAUCUUUUAUCUUUGGGAAUGUUAUUUUGUGGGAUUUCGAUAUUCUGCCAUUGCCACCUUCUCAAACAAUUCAACCUCGAGGUCCAGAUACUGUUGAUGAAGAUUUGGACAGUGUGCUGUCACUAAUAAAUUUACAAGGGCAAACUGGAUAUAACUGUGAUCUACAACCAAUAAAUUCUGUGUGCUUGGUGGGUAUUACUCUACAGUGCAGCAUUGCUGAUUGGAAAAAGUGGACCAUGGGACAUAGGGACAGAGAUGAUCCAAGAAACAAUUAUAACAAUGACUAGUUACUAGAAUAUUGUAAAUUGAUGUUUGUGAUGUUAUUCUGAGUGUGCAUCCACACCGGGCAAGCUCAAACGUUUGCCUGACAUGGUGGGAAUCGAACCUGCAAUUUUUGGGAUAUUAGUCCAAUGCUCAACCAACUGAGCUCAACUCGGUGUGGAUGCAUACUCUGAGUAACAUCACAAACGUAUUCACCUGAGUAAAUAACACCAACACACACAAGAAGUAUAUUGUAAAUUGUUGUUAUUUUAUUAUGUAUCCCUACAUACCGUAAACCACCGACUAUAAGCCCUGGGCUUAUAUACUUUCGUAAGCGAUUUUUGACGGGCUUAUACAAGGGUGGGCUUAUAUACGGGGGGGGGGGUUAUACAUGGAUGACCUUUUGUGUUAGUGUAAUAGUGAUAAACAAGACUUAGUGUUAAACCAGCACAGCAAAAAUACUGAUUAAUAUUGAUAAAUAAUAGUGAUAAACAAGUGGGCUUAUAUUCGGGGGGGAGGGCUUAGAUUUGGAAUGAGGUGAGCGUUAGUAGAUGUGGUGGGCUUAUACACGGGGGGGGGGGCUUAUAGUUGGAGGUUUACGGUAUUUAUUUUAUUAUGGAUCCCUACAAUAAUAGUGACAUAGAUUACUAGGCUAAUGUAAAUUGUUGUUAUUUUAUUUUAUUAUGGACAAAAUUUCUCCAGAUCCAUGGAUCUUUUUUGGCGAUAGAUAUUAGAGCUGUGCGGUUAACCGAAAAAUUCGGUUCUUCCGGUACUUUUUUCAGCACCGAAAAACUAUACGCAAAAAACCGGUAGUUUCGGUUUUAAUUUCCCGUUUAACGCCCACCUGAUUGCAGGUUGAAAUGUUUGGAAAAUAACAAGAUUGUGCUCUUUGUGCAUAAUAUGCACUGUACUAAGUGCUCAAAUAGUUGAUAUUUUAGUUGUGAUAGUCAUUUUUGUGAACUUGCUUUAAAUUUUUUUAAAAACUAAGAAAUAUUACAUCUUCAUAAAUAAAUUCCAAUUGUUCUUUUAAAAUAUUCAGAGAUUUAUACAAACUUACAAAGGCA